This 588-nucleotide ribosomal RNA is filed under the name Bacillus sp. JMT1909. RNAcentral's name for it is "bacterial SSU rRNA". It matches the Rfam family "Bacterial small subunit ribosomal RNA", at positions 41 to 609 of the family's 1533-position model. Lineage: Bacteria; Bacillati; Bacillota; Bacilli; Caryophanales; Bacillaceae. The record is from RNAcentral.
GGCGUGCCUAAUACAUGCAAGUCGAGCGAACUGAUUAGAAGCUUGCUUCUAUGACGUUAGCGGCGGACGGGUGAGUAACACGUGGGCAACCUGCCUGUAAGACUGGGAUAACUUCGGGAAACCGAAGCUAAUACCGGAUAGGAUCUUCUCCUUCAUGGGAGAUGAUUGAAAGAUGGUUUCGGCUAUCACUUACAGAUGGGCCCGCGGUGCAUUAGCUAGUUGGUGAGGUAACGGCUCACCAAGGCAACGAUGCAUAGCCGACCUGAGAGGGUGAUCGGCCACACUGGGACUGAGACACGGCCCAGACUCCUACGGGAGGCAGCAGUAGGGAAUCUUCCGCAAUGGACGAAAGUCUGACGGAGCAACGCCGCGUGAGUGAUGAAGGCUUUCGGGUCGUAAAACUCUGUUGUUAGGGAAGAACAAGUACGAGAGUAACUGCUCGUACCUUGACGGUACCUAACCAGAAAGCCACGGCUAACUACGUGCCAGCAGCCCGCGGUAAUACGUAGGUGGCAAGCGUUAUCCGGAAUUAUUGGGCGUAAAGCGCGCGCAGGCGGUUUCUUAAGUCUGAUGUGAAAGCCCACGGGU